Cloeon dipterum is the source of this 879-nucleotide long non-coding RNA. RefSeq lists it as uncharacterized. NCBI's taxonomy places the organism in Eukaryota, Metazoa, Arthropoda, Insecta, Ephemeroptera, Baetidae. The record is from RefSeq and is a predicted model, not a curated record. The transcript has 3 exons.
AAACGCGGCGCUGCAGUAUGGGCCCUUCAACACGGGCCAAUGGGGUCAACUGGAGAGCAAAAUCCGCGAUGAAUUCAGUGAAGCGACAAUAUUCACCGGCACUUCCAACUUAAUAUUCGAUGAGAAAGAGGUACUGGAAAUUGAGCAGGAAAUGGAAGAUUUAAAUUUGCCAAAAACAGAACCUACUGAAGAGAACAAGUGCAGACCGGAUGUCUUUUGGAAAAUCGUCAUUGGAACAGAUGCUAAGGACCAGAACCGCAAGGUCAAGGGCUACCUCUACUCCAACAAAAUCGAGCCAAGGAGCGACUUUUACUUGAAGAAGAGGUUUUGCUAUCGAUUUUUGUGCAGUUAUAAAGAGAGCGUCUCAGCGGGAUAUUGUUUUCACGGCGCUGAUGUUCAACAGAUUACCCAACUGUUGAAAGAAGCGGAUGUUAUUUGGGGACAUCCUGAUUUUACAGAUGCAAUGAAUGAAAUUUUGAAGGGUAUGCCGACAGGAUCAAGUCGUCAUCCUUCACAGGGAAUACUAUGGGAAGACCGAAGGAAUCAUUAAACGGUUUUAACUGGUUAAAAACAGAUUUUUCUGCUUGCAUGGAAUGGAAUAUCUGAAAUUUUGUGGUCCAAAAUUGAAUAAUCAAAUAACAAAUUAUUACAUAAUAAAUUUUUAUUUUAGUGGAAAAAUUUGUUCGAAAGCCGUGUUGCACCCUGAUAAUUAUUCCAUGUGUGCCAAAUAAAUGCUGUCCUCUUAGUUUGUGGGAACCAAAAUAAGCUUAUCACCAAUUUCGAAUGUUGUGUGUGUUUUUAUAAAAUAAGGCGUGUCGUUUGUUUAUUUCAAGUAUUGCAUUGUUUUGUUGAGUGUUUCACAUAAAUUUUUCUCCUUGA